GCAGUUAAUGCUCCUUCCGAGCGACCCUCUUGAUGCAAGGAAUAUAAUGCUUGAAGGUAUAUUAUUCUCUUACUUUGCCUUAUUGUCUUGAUUUGUUUGUAGAAUUUUCUGCUCUGCGGCUUAGUUUCAGAUUCAUGAACUCCAAGCAAUAAUUAAGUGAUCCAGAUAAUAAAAAAGUAAAAUAUUCAUCAGAACUUAAUGAGCAGAUGUAAAAACCACGAAGCUUUUCUUGAGAUAUUUAGAAGUGAAACAAAAGAUAAGGUUACAGACUCUUUUACUCCAUCUCACUAAAAUUAAUUGACCAUGACUGGUUUUCAAAGAGUUUAAGAGGAAAGUGUUUCAAAUCUGAGAAAGUGGCAAAGUUAAUGAAAAGAUUCACAUUAAAGUUGAGUUGAUAUAAAUUAAUACUAUUUAUAUUUUCUUAAAUUGUUGGAAGAAAAAACUUCUCCAAUAUAGGAGAUAGCUCAUAUUUUUGGUACGGGAUAAAAUGGGAAGUAAGUCAAUUGAAACAUGACUGGGUACUACAUGCUUCUUCGAGUAUCCCUUUUAAAUGGCCACUUUUUUUUUUGUUUGAGAAAGAUAACAUAAUGGCCACAUUUAGUUUUACAUUUAUAUUAUUGCUGAUUUGAUGAAAUCGAGCACAACAUACAUUGAUAGAAUCUAAUUGUCUGCAAGUCCUCUAAAAGUUGUCCAGCUUAUAAAUCUUUGGAUGUGGCAUGAUUACCACUAGCACAUCAGUAGCUACAAAUAUUGAAACUUAAGGGUUAGCCAGCAUGUGAUGUGUGUCUGCUCUAUGCUGCUUAAUUUUGAUUUCUGUCACUCCUAAUUGUUAAGUUAAGAUAUCUUUUUCACAAAAGCUUUAAUUCUGGGUAUGGGUGUCUUAACUCUUUUGUGUUGCAGUCAGGGCAGGUGCUGGUGGGGAUGAGGCUGGAAUUUGGGCUGGUGAUCUUGUAGGUACAUGUUCCUUUAGUCCUUCUGGAUUCUUUUAUAUAGAUCUGAUACUUUUUCAGAUACUGAAAAAAGAAAAGUUUAAUCUCUGUUCAUUCAACUCUUGGUACUUUUAACAGUGGCAUGAGAUAGACAGUACUAUCUUACCUUAUAACAUAUGGCCUUUAUGGGUCCAAAGUGCAAUACCUUACAGCUAAGAAAUAAAUAAAUGAGACUUUAAAUACCUGGUCACCAUUACAUUCCACCAAUCAAUAUAGAGUCCUUAAAGUGUUAUUUCAUCUGCUGAGCUAUGACAGAAGUGGUUAUUGCUUCCAAUAGCGUGAAAUGAAGAACCCAGAUCUGAUUGCUUGGCACACUUAUUUCUUCUUUGCUUUGACAUCAUUAGGUGCGUAUGUAUGAGAAAUACAGUGAACGGAACUCUUGGAAGUUUGCUCCAAUCUCUUGCUCCGAGGUAAAUAUGCACUAAAUUCUAAUUGACAUCUACUUUUUCAUUUUCUAAAAAGAAGUAAUUUCUUCCUCUAAUCUAUUUAACAUCUUUUUUUUUCAAGGCUGAAAAAGGAGGAUUCAAAACAUAUGUGAUGGAGAUCAAAGGCAACCGAGUCUAUAGUAAAUUGAAAUAUGAAUCUGGUGUUCAUCGAGUUCAACGUGUACCACUAACAGAAACUCAAGGCCGUGUUCACACUUCUACUGCAACAGUUGCUAUCAUGCCAGAGGUUAGUUAUCCACAUGUUCACUCAAAAUUAUCUCCUAUUUAGUCUAGCUCAAUAUGACCAUCUUUUUUAGUGAGAAUAUUGAAAACAACGUUGAACUUGGCGCAAAUUAUUAGUUUCGUCUCUAAACUAUUGACAGCCUUAAAAACACCCCUCUACUUGAUUAGCUAAACUUAAAUACACCCCUGAUCUGCCACAUAACAUAGCAAAUGGUCUCAAACUCUUGUAGGAGCAUGGAACUCUUAAUAAAAAGCAGAGAGAAGUGUUGAAAACACCCCUAAGGUUAGCGAGAAUUUAGGGGUGUAUUUCACUCAUAGUGCAAUAUCGAGGGUGUAUUUAAGUUCAAUUAGCGAAGUAAAGGAGUGCAUUUAAGGCAGUCAAUAGUUCGGGGAUGAAAAUAAUAAUUUGUGCGGAGUUUAGGAGUGUUUUCAAUAUUUCUCUUUUUUUUUAUGUAAUUGUACUAUCUGCAAGUUCAUCCCAAAUGUUGUAGCAAUCACAUAGCUUGCUGCAUCAUUUAAAUCACCAUGUACAGCUGAGUAGUUGUCGAUCACCAAACUUCCAAUUUUACCUAGAGUUUUCAUUAUGUUCUUUUGAUUGUUUUUCCCCAAGUAUCCCUAGGUCUUUUCAGUUCCCUGUUUUUCUGCAGCUGUUAUUUCUUUUGGUUUCAUCCUUGAUAUAUUUUAUGGUUUCAGGCUGAUGAAGUUGAUGUGGAAAUUGACCCGAAGGAUAUAGAACUAACAACAGCACGUUCUGGUGGUGCUGGAGGUACAUGAUGAUUCAACUCUUCAUGUUCUACUACAUUUCCCUAUACAUGAACUUCUUGUGCUUAUUGACAUGCAUAUAUUAAUGCAUGAUUAUGCUAUGCAGGGCAGAAUGUUAACAAGGUGGAGACUGCAGUUGAUCUUUACCAUAAACCAACAGGAAUUAGAAUCUUUUGUACUGAAGAAAGGAGUCAGCUUAAAAACAAGAAUCGGGCUUUCCAACUAUUGAGAGCAAAAUUGUAAGGGACAUUGAUUCAUAUAUAAGUAUUUUGCUUAAUGGAGUUACUGAACUUUAUUAUAUAGAAAUAAAAGAUAAAAAACAGAAUUGCUCAACUUAGAUAUGAAUGAAAUUAGUCCUAUGGAUUAGGUGAGAAGCCCUUGCUUGUAAGAUGACCUCUUCUGAGAGCAACUAGAUAGGUUUGCUUAAGAAAAUGAUAUACUUACUGAUGCGAACCUGAAGUACUGCUUUCUAGAUCCUAUAAAGAAAGUUUCUGGUGUUUGAACUGCCCACUAUGUCUGGUCACGGAUCCAUAAAUUAAAUUUAGGGGGUUCAGCUUUUAAGAUUUUCCACAUUGAACUCAUUGUACAGUUAAAAUUAUGGGUUCAAGUCUAAUAUUUGUUGAGAUUUUAGUAGGUUUUUACAUAUAUAUCUACACUCCAUAUUGAAAGUUAUGGGUUCAGGUGAACCUGUUGCCAAAAGGUUAUAUCCGCCCAUGUCUGGAUCUUUACUUCAAUUCUGCGAAAUAGUUUUGUUUGCAUGUCAAAAAAAUUCACUGCUUAGAACACCUUCUUUUGCUAGUUUAAGAGUGAAACAAACUUAAGUGAUUGCCCAUGUCAGAUAUGCUUUUCAUUAAGCAUGUGGUAUGUGUUCUUCAUAUCUAGAUAACCUUGCCAUAUAUAAUAGUGUGAACUAAAGAAACCUACGUGAUUAAGGAAGAAUCUGUUAGUAUUUGGCUAUGUUCUAUGACAAUGAUAAGCCCAUAGACUAACUUUCAAGUUUCCAAUGCAUCAAACAAUAAAGGUCUAUCAUGUUACCUGAUUAAAAAAAAACAAGAAAGGUCUGUUAUUGUUAGCCUUUUAUCCUUUAGGCAUGGUUGUGGUUUGACACUUCAUUUGCUUUUAUGGAAGUCAACAAGGUUAUGUGAUUUGGGGUUGUCAAAUUUUUUGUCACUGGCUGAUAGAGCCCGUGAUCGAUCUGUGAGAAAUAUAGGAAAAGAAUAUUAUUGAAUUGUUGUUGUGUCUACAUUAUUACAUUGAGACCCUAUUUAUAGACACUACAAUACAAUCCUUUACCAAGUAGGAUACUACUUACUAUUCCUAUUUCUGUUCCUAUUCAAUUCUAAAUAGGAUUGUAUAAACCUAUUCCUAUUCUACUAUGAUUGUAUAAACCUAUUCCUAUUCUAAUAGGAUUGUAUAAACCUAUUCAUAUUCUAACACUCCCCCUCAAGCUAGUGCAUACAAUUCAUGUACCUAGCUUGUUACAAAUGUAAUUAACACGAGGACCGAUGAGGGACUUGGUGAGAUAUCUGCAAGUUGAUCAGUCGACUUCACAAAAAUUGACAGUCAAUCUCAAUGUGCUUGUCUUCUCAUUAAAUACGAGAUUUGAUGCAUAAUGUCAGUCAAUAUCAAUGUGCUUGUCUUCUCAUUAAAUACUGGAUUUGAUGCAUAAUACCGAUAAAACACCGAGUGAUAAAAUUCCAGUGUUGAGCUUCCCAAACCAAACUUGCAAUGACUAACUCACAAAAUCGACAUACAAGGCUACUAAACUCCCCCUGAGCAACAAAGUGCUCAAAACCUAGUAUAAAGUAUAUGGAUCAUGUUGGAAUCAAUAGAUGAGUCGAUAUUAAACAAGAAAGUCACUGAAAAAUUGGUCGGAAAAUGCUCAUAUGCAGGAGUAUAGAUUUGAUGGCUAAAAGUAGUCACAAUCUAAAAAGUAGUCACCGGAAUGAUGGCUUGGUGCUACAUAAAUUAUAUAUGAAAAAGUAGUCACCGGAAUGAUGGCACGGUGCUACAAAAAUUAAAUAUGAAAAGUAGUCACCGGAAUUAUGGCACGGUGCUACACAAAUUAGAUAUAAGAAAGUAGUCACCGGAAUGAUGGCUUGGUGCUACAUAAAUUAUAUAUGAAAAAGUAGUCACCGGAAUGAUGGCACGAUGCUACAUAAAUUAUAUAUAUGAAAAAGUAGUCACCGGAAUGAUGGCACGAUGCUACAUAAAUUAUAUAUAUGAAAAAGUAGUCACCGGAAUGAUGGCACGGUGCUACAAAAAUUAAAUAUGAAAAGUAGUCACCGGAAUUAUGGCACGGUGCUACACAAAUUAGAUAUAAGAAAGUAGUCACCGGAAUGAUGGCUUGGUGCUACAUAAAUUAUAUAUGAAAAAGUAGUCACCGAAAAGAUGGAGCGGUGCUACACAAAUACCAACGGAUAUGGGGUUGACACAAAACAGCCCUAGAAAGUCACCGAAAAUUGAUGCAUGGUGACCUGUCUGACUAAGUUUCUUCCCUUGAACAUGGGGUUCAUGCAUGUAUCAUUUGUCCUACUUUUAUUAACAUAAUCAUUGGCCAGAUGGGCGGCAUAUAUUGGUAAUAGCCACCCGCCAGCAGCGGAAACUCUUUGAUUUUCUACCAAGAUCGUAGAGGCUCUGAUACCAUGUGAGAAAUAUAGGAAAAGAAUAUUAUUGAAUUGUUGUUGUGUCUACAUUAUUACAUUGAGACCCUAUUUAUAGACACUACAAUACAAUCCUUUACCAAGUAGGAUACUACUUACUAUUCCUAUUUCUAUUCCUAUUCAAUUCUAAAUAGGAUUGUAUAAACCUAUUCCUAUUCUACUAUGAUUGUAUAAACCUAUUCCUAUUCUAAUAGAAUUGUAUAAACCUAUUCAUAUUCUAACAAUCAAUCAAGACAAUCACUGGAAGGAAACUUGUCCAAGAGCUGAUGACCCCUCUGUGUCAUCCCUUUUCUAGUUGAUCUUCACCAUUUGACAAUUUCUAUGAUGGUCAUAUGCAUAUAUGAAUCUCUACAUAAUUUUACUUGCAAUGAAAUAUGUCAUUAGUUUCAGACUGCACUAUCUGCUAGUGAACUAGAACCAAAAUCUUAUGGGUCCUAAAAUUCACCGGAAUAAUUGUCUAGGCUGAAGAGCCAUGGACAGUCUACAUAGUUCCAUGUAUGUAUCAUCUUUAUACAUUGGUACAUUCAUGUUAUUUCACUACUAUGUAUGUAUUUUCUUUAUACUAACACAAGGUGAUAUUUAUGUAAAUUUUUACUAUGGCCAUAACUUCUGGAAUUACUAUUAUCUGUGCAUGGAUAUGACUUGUGACGUUCUUCCAGGUAUGAGAUUAAGGUGAGGGAGCAGCAGGAGUCCAUAAGAAAUCAGAGAAAAUUACAGGUAAGAUAACUAAACCUUCAUAUCGUUGAACUAGCCUACUCAAAAUGCAGUAGGAAGGGGACACUCAAAUCAACAUGGUUGGCACCAUAUUUUUUAUGUUCUCUUUUAAGGGAAAAUGCAUAAAUUUCCCCUUGAACUUGUCCCGAAAAGUCAAUUACACGCUCAAACUAUCAUAGUGACCUAUUACACACCUAUACUAUUCAGUUUGAAAUUAAAGUAAAAAAAGAAGAAGUUAGAAUCCUCUUUUCCACCCCCCACCCCCCACACCUCUUCUUCUUCAAACCCCCACCCAUUGUCCUCUUCUUCUUCAUUCUUUAUUUCAUCACACUUCUUCAUUUUUUAUCACAAUCUUAAAGCACAAUUUUUUUUGAUUCGCAAUUAGGUUAAUUCCCAUAGAUUUGUUAGUGAAUAAUUGUAUUUUAUCUAGAAAAAUUUUGAUUGAUUGUUUCUAUCUUUUUGGACUUUGUUAAAGUAUUUUGGGAAAAUGCAUAAGUACCCCCCAGCCUAUGCCCAAAAUCCCUGAGACACACCUAACCUUUACUAAGGUUCUAUUACCCUCUCGAACUUAAUUUUUAAUUAAUUUUCUACCACUUUUCAGCCUACGUGGCACUAUCCUUGAAAAAAUUGUCAACACACGCUGGGCCCACAAGAUAGUGCCACGUAGGCCGAAAAGGGGUAGAAAAUUAUAUAUAAAAUAAGUUCGGGGGGUAAUAGGACCUUAGUAUAGGUUAAGUGUGUCUCAGGGAUUUUGUGCAUAGUCUGGGGGGUACUUAUGCAUUUUCCCAAGUAUUUUUGGUUGUUAAUCAAUUUUUGGUUUUGGUGGUAAUAGCAGCUUUAUGGGUUUGGUGGUGAUGGGUGGCGGGUGACAAACAUUAAAAGAGGUAAUUAAAGGUGGUGAAAAAUAAAAAAUCGAUAUUGAUAAUGGUGGUGGUGAUAUUUGGUGUUGGGUGACAAAGAAGAAGAAGAAUUGAAGGUUAUAUAGUGGUGGUGAAGAACAAAAUCAAUAGUGAAGGUGGGGCCGGAUAUGAUUUUCCGAUGAAAUGAGAAUUGAAAAUGGGUGGGAUUAGUGAUGAAGAAGAUACAAUUAUUAGAGAAUUAAAUCAAUUAAUUAGGGAUUAGUUAGAGUAGAAUAUAGUUAACAAAAGAAAAGUUAAUUAAUAAAGAAAAGAAAACAAAAAAUUAUAAUUUAUGACAUGACGCUGACGUAGAGCUGAUGUGGCAGCGAGUAUAAUACAUCACAUAAUGUGAUAGUGGUGUUACACGUCUCGGGGUGGUAAUAAAUUCACUUUUGAGUAGUUAAGGUGUGUAAUAGGUCAUCAUGAUAAUUUAAGCGUGUAACUGACUUUUCGGGACAAGUUCAGGGGGAAUCUAUGCCUUUUCCCUUUCUUUUAAAUGUCCUAAUCUAAAAUGAUAUCCAUAUGGAACAUACCUAUAUGUUCCACAAGUUCAAGUAGCUUACAUGUAUCUACCUGCUGAUCAUCUAAUAUAUACCAUCACUACUGCAAACCUUUCAUACUGAUAGUGUCUGUGACACAUAAGUAAAUGUCGAGGAAAUGGUUUAACACAACCUUUUACAAUUUGAAUGGAAGAAAAUGACCCUGCAAAGAUCUCUUACGUGUAAAAACAAAGAAUUAUAGGUAGAUUUGGCAUAAAACUGAAUUGUAAUGAGCCACAAAACCAAUUGACCCAUAUAUGUUAUAAUUGUUUCCUGGGUUUACAUAACAUGACCAAGCUAAUACAACAUUUUUUAUAUGGUCAUUUUAAGCCUUGUGAUCUCUUAAAUUUUCGUAUCAGAUCAAAAAGCACGAGGACAAGAUAUCUUGUUAAUUUUCCUUAUUAGACUUUAUAUUUACAAUGACAGGUAGGUACUGGUGCUCGGUCAGAAAAAAUUCGGACAUACAACUACAAGGUAAUUAAGCCAUAAUGCCUUGAACUGAAAAGUGUGUUAUUCCCCAAAACAAACUUUUGGCAUCCAAUUAAUGAUUAUGAUGGUAUAAUAUCCUACCACAAUCUCAAACUGCAGUUUUGGUUCAUAGAAACAAGUACUUUCACUGAAUAUGGAAAACUUUGAACGUUGUGUUUUUCCUGAUUAUUGCUUUAAAAGUGAUGGUACAAGUGAAGCAUACUCAUGGUUCUGCAUUCUUUUGAAAUAUUCUGACUGGUUCCUACAGUUCUCUUUUAGAUUACCCACCCUUGUGCCCCAUCUUUUCAUCAUUCUGAUCUCUUUUCUCUGAUGUUCACAGGACAAUAGGGUCACUGAUCAUCGGCUAAAAAUGAACUUUCCGCUCAUGACGUUUCUUGAGGGUGACAUCGAGACAGCUGUUCAGGUAUGUUACUUUGCUAAGUAGCUAUUUGGAACCCCUUGGGGGAGGGAAUGGUAAGAAUUCCCAAUAAGACUGUCAUGCUAAUUUCAUCUUUGUGCAGUCUUGUUCUACUUUGGAGCAACAAGAGUUACUGCAAGAACUUGCUGAAUCUGCCAGUGCACCUGCAUGAUAAUUUGAGGCCUUUGUUUUCGCUAGAAGUUCUAUUUUUUUUCCUUCGUGGAACACUUCUCACACAAAUCCCGAUGGGUCCUCGGAUCAGCAUUGUUUAAAUGGACCGUAAGGAUAUCAUUCUUGUUAGAAUUGUUGUAAAUCUAGGAUCAGUACAAAAGAAUGAGGAGAUCUAGUGCUAACCAGGAGCUCUCUCAGAUCCUUUUUUGGAACUUGGCUUCUAAAUGUUACAGAACACUUCAACAAGAAGUUCAUUAUUGAAAAUCAAAGUAAUCCUUGUGCAUAAUUUCUUCAUCAAUCUGAAAAUCAUUAUAAUGCUUGUGCA
This 8616-nucleotide long non-coding RNA is filed under the name Solanum tuberosum (potato). Its description in RNAcentral is "long non-coding RNA (STUB_LNC009342)". The record is from RNAcentral. Lineage: Eukaryota; Viridiplantae; Streptophyta; Magnoliopsida; Solanales; Solanaceae.